AUUGUUCAUGCAGAGUAAAUGACCCCUAUUGUUUUUGGGGUCACUCCGUUAAAGGUCAAGGUCACAGGGGCCUGAACAUUGAUAACCAGUUCCGAUCAAUAACUUGAGAACCACUCGACCCAGAAUGUUGAAACUUCAUUGGAUGAUUGAACAUGCAGAGUAGAUGACCCCUAUUGAUUUUGGGGUCAGUCAAUUAAAGGUCAAGGUCACAGUGGCCUGUUCAUGUAAAAUCAUUUUUUAGAAAUAACUUGAGAACCACUUGACCUACAAUGUUGAAACUUAAUAGGAUGAUUGGACAUGCAGAGUAGAUGACCCCUAUUUAUUUUGAGGUCACUUGAUCAAAGGUCAAGGUCACAGGAGCCUGAACAGUGACUUGAGAACCACUAGGCCAAGAGUGUUGAAAUUUAGCGGGAUGACUGGACAUGCCAAGUAGAUGAUCCCUAUUGCAGCCAACCAUCAGUGUCUCUUUGACUUUCGCUCCUGACCCCUAUUGACUUCUUGCCUAUAGGACUUUGCAUUGGGGGAGACAUGCGCUUUUUUACAAAAGCAUUUUCUAGUUGUCAUUGUCAUUGAUAGCUCUAGCUGCUUAAGAUAUUUCACUAUCCAGCAUUAAAAUAGUCGAAUGCACUGUAACCUCUUACAGCUUUUGUUAAAAUCAGAACAGCGUUUAAUUUGAACUGAUAGGAAACAAAAAAACUGACAGCAGUCAGACAGUCAGACAACAAGUAAAAUGGGGCAAAAAAUGUUCAAAAGAGGCAAAUUAGCUAAACAAGAAAACGUCUAUCAUAUUAAGCUAUCUCAUGUAGCAACAGCUGAAUAGAUACGAAAUCCCUGACCUGUCUGAAAAUGUAUCCAUGUCAUUGGUCAGCUUCUAGUUUGUGCUCAGAAACAACUAAUGAGAAACAAUAGUAACUGUUAUAGACAAUGACACCGUUUUCUAUCAGCGACUGUAGAAAACAGAUCUGUUAUCAUAAAACUUCAGUGGAUGGUUGUCCCUAUUUGGGUUACGGUAUUACGUCAAAAGCCAAGAUCACAGUUACUUCAAUACUGAAAAUGGCUUCUGCUUUGCUCAAUUACUCAAGAAAACUUACAGUCACUCACUGUUGUCAAACUUAAAGGGAUGAUUGCCUGUGAUCAGUAAAGGUCAGAGGUGAAGGUUACAAUAUCCUUCAGGCUGAAAAUGGCUCACUGUACGUAACUAAAGAAUGCUUAGGUUUACUGUCAAACUUCAUAGGUUAGUAGAAUACCUCCGACUUGUUUUUGGGGAGGGGGAAUUGUCAAGUUCAUAAUAACAGUGAGACUAACAGUGCUUUCUGUUCAGUAACUGUGAAACAUCUGGUUCUCUGGCAGGCAGACUUGAUAUCAUGAUUAUCUGUGGUCAAUAGAUGAACCAUAUUGCUUUGUUUAUCAAAGGACAAUGUCACAGUGACCAUUUAAUUGAAAGUGGUUGCUGAUUAAUUAAGAAAUAAUUUGUAGCAAAAGAAAGAGUGCUUUAACACUAUUUAUGCACGGUGGGUGGUUAUACGUCUUGCGUAAUAAUUUCACGAGGGCGUAGCCCAAGUGAAAUUAUUUGUUCGACGUAAUACCGCUCGAGUGUAUAAAUAGUGUUAAAACACGGUUUUGCUAUAAAUUAUUUAAAUUCUAAUAUGCCUUUAAUCGAAAACAGUAGAUAAAAUAUAGUAGCACUCUUUCUUAGUCGCAACAAAAACUUUGACGUCACUACACCUUAACGUGACGUCAUUCUAGUGUAGGCGUGUUUUAACAGAGACAAGCAUAUUAGAAUAUGAAACAGCCAUCAACUUCAGGGUGAUUGUUGUGGUCGGUAGAUGAUUUCUAAUAUUUUUUUGGGUCUGAAUAUCAAAGAUAUAGGUGACAAUGACAUUAAGGCUGAAAACAAUAUCCAUUCUUAUAACUGAAAAUUACAUAGUUACCCAGUUUUCUCAAUCAUGCCAUCAUAGUGGCAUUUUUGUUUCACAAAUAGCUCAUUUUAUUCAUAUUUCUGUCAGUUAGAAGUGAAAGUCAGUGUUGAAUAUAUUUGCAGGUAGUGUACAUUGAUCCUCAUGGAUUAGCAUACAAGCAUGGCCUUGUACACAAACCAACCACUCUAGACGGCAAUGGUAUAUGUAACUGGAUGCUGACAGAAAUCAACAUGAGACCACUGAAUCUCUUUUUUAAAGACAGUGAAAUUGAGAGAAGGCUACUUGCAGUUGGACGAGAUAUAUCUAUUGUGGUGCAACCAUCAGACUUUGUGAAAGAACUGAAGAAACAGCUCAAAAAACUGAAAGGGUACAAGGACUAUUUGAUACAAUGAUAUAUAUAGUCUGUGACAACACAAGACAUAAGAUCAUAUCGAUGCAAUUUCUUCUUUUUGCUGCAUUCUUUUAUAAAGAUGUAAUGAAUUCAUAGAUUAUUUAUUUGCUACUACAGUAAAAGGUUCCAAGGGGAUGAGGAAUGUGCUCAAGGUAUCUAAUACUUACAGGAAUCCAAAAAGAAAGUAUAAGGAAAACUGUUAGGGACCAUUAUGAAUUUCUUUAGCAAACCUGGCACUAGAGCCCUCACUGUGGUCUUGCACUGUAAUACACUUCAGUCUUUUUUGAAACUGUUAAAUGUGUAGUUGUUAAGGAGAUGAAGUCUGUGUAGUAAAUGUAUAUGUUACUAGGUCUUAUCAUUUAUAAACACUAUCACAAAAAUGCUUUAGGCAUAUUUUACCAUCAAUUUUCUUACUUCUGGAAUGCAGUACUUAUGUAGGAUAUAACAACAAGCAGAAAGUGUGGAAAAAUGAAUAUUUUAAGUUGUAAUAUAUUACAUUGAAAUCAUUGCACCUGGCAGGAACAAACUCAUUUCUGAGUGAUGAACUGCUAUAUAUAAUUUAAUUUUUGCCUAUCUUCACCCUCAAAUUUUAUGCCUUAUGCAAAUGUACAUUGACUUAAAUUAGAUUAUUACACACUAUUGUCGUAUACUAGCCUGUCCAUAUCCCAGCAUGAGCUUUUAUAUGUUCUACAUCUUUUAAAUAUUUCUGUUUGUAUUGUUAUUCUUUAGGUCACUUCUAUUUGCAUAGCAACUUUUUAUCAUUUUGUUUUAUGUGAACUUGCCUUACUCAUAGUUAUGUUGAUGGCUAUGCUGUUGAUGGUGUAUUUUUAAGCAGAAUCAUUUAAGAAAAAAUGUAUAGAAAAACUGUGUUUUAACGUUAUUAAUACACAGAAGAUGGUUAUACUUCAGCGGAAAAAUUUCACAAGGGCGUCGCCAGAGUGAAUUAUUCUGGGGACGUAUAUCCGAUUUUGAGUGUAUUAAGUUAGGUAAAACAUGAUUUUGCUAUACAUUAUUUUGAUUCUAAUAAUUAUGCCCUCAAUCUUGAACUUUGUAUAAAAUAUGGUAGCGCUCUUUCUUGGUGACUAGUAAAACAUUGAAGUCAUUGCACGUCAAUGUGACGUCAUUAUAGCGUCAGCAUGUUUUAAGAGAAACAAGCAUAUUAGAACUAUUGUUUAUACAUAGCAUGUACUAGGUAAAUUAGUACUUACUGUCAUUGCAGUGCCUUUCAUCUGUUAAGAAAUAAUUUUGUUUUUAUUUAUUGAUGAAUUUGUUGUUGUAUAUUUUAAAUGAAAUAUUUGUGUUUUAGUCUUCUGAGAUAUAAAAACACCAGGAUUGGUUUUUUUGUUAAGAUUUGACAUAAUUUUAAGAUAGAAAGCUUCAUUUCCUUGCAUGAAUUUUUUAUUGAUGAAUAAUUCAGGUCUCGAUAUUUGAUAGCUUUGAAAAGCUAUGUUCCUUAUAUUUAGUCAGCCCAGAUACUGUGCCUGAUUGAUAUUUAACUUAAGUAAAGUUAUUUCAUUUUGUGGGCAUCAAAUUUUGUGGUUUUGCCCAAAACAGCUAUUUAUGUGGUGAUAUAAAUUUGUAGAGAUAAGAUGAAUGGGUAUUGUAUGACUGUAUUCUUUGGGAUUUAAUUUUUGUUGAUGAACACAGUCAGAACAUGCAUGAAAUUCUCACAUACAUUGUAGUAACUGUUCUUUUUGGUUAUUUGAUAAAAAUGUGUACCCGGUACAUAAUUUUAUCAGUUUAAAAAUGUAAAAGGAAAUGAUGUUGACCUUUCAAAAUACUAUCUUGUUAAAACUUCAUUCACAAUACAGGAUGCCAUUUUAUGAUGGGUCUUUUUGACUAUGAUUGAAUAAAAACCUCUGCAGCUCAAUGGAAGUGUGUCGGUUUUGAGUUCGGGAGUCCUGGCUGCAUCAAACCAAAGUCAUUAGGAAAGAUACUGAUAGCUCUCUUGCUCGGCACUUGGUAUUUCAAGAGUUGUACUAGGAGGUGAAACUACGCCAAGAAAAGUGUCUGUUACUGGAGAUACCAUAUUAGUUACACAAGAGCUUUCUUUUCUUCUUGGGACUUAAUUCCGUGGAUUGACCCGACCACAAAAUCCAUGGUAAAUAGUCCUCAAUGAAUAUUAAUGAUUUCACUGUAAACUAGGGUACUAGGCCUGUAUGAUUAAAGCUAUGAAAAUUUGUUUCUCUUUUGACUUCGGCAACACUUUUGAAAUAAUGCAGAAAAUUUACAUUCUUUUUACAUUUUUACUAAUAUCUAAAUUUUAUUUUCACCCAGUUUAUCAUUUCAGUGUCAUAUAUACAUUCUAUGCCAAACUGGGUGGAAAUGAAUAUUUUGAAAUAUUCACCCAAAUUGUGAGGGAGUAGUUUUCAAUUUUUUGAAUCUUAUAACACAGGUUAAACUUUGUUUUAUUAUUCCUAAAUUUUAUAAUAGUUGACCUCGUAUUUUAUUUUUGUUUUCCCUAUUUUCUGCUCAAAUAAAGCAUAACUGUGUUACAUUUUGUGGAGAAAUUUGUAGUAUAACCAUCAUAGACGACUGAUGAUGAAACUACUUUUACUCUGUACACUUUGUAUGACGGAAACCAUUUUACUUUUUUAAGCACCAAUAAUGAAUAAUGUUGAGAUAGUUCCAUAUUUGAGAUUUGAUAAAUAGUUUGAAAAGCUCAAUUAUCAUUAAGUUUUAUCUUUUAUUUGGUUGUACUGGUAAAUGUUUCCAAGGAGACCACAAUAUAAUAACUUGUUAUAUGAAUAAUUAUAGAUUUUAGCUUUGUUAGUACUUACUAUAAUAGUGGAUUUAGGGUUGGUUUCACAAAGGGGACUUGCAACUGAUUCUCGCAGUAGUUACGUGACUAAAAAUUUGGAUCUGAUAUUUUUAUAGUGCUUAUAGACCUGAUUAAAGUUUUCAAGAUUGAGUGAUGUAUAUUCCCACUUUCACAUAUUAGUUAUAGAUGGAAAUUUAUAUUGUACUUUGUUAUCAAAAAGUUUAUUGUAUAUUUGUGUACAGCCAGUAUUUAAUCUACUUUUUUUCUGGACUUUUUUUCAUAAUUAAUUAAUUUAAAACUGAAACAAAAAUCUGGUCUAUAUGUUCCUUUGGCUUAAUAUUUUUUAUGCCUCCUUUAGGUUUGUUGUUUUGUUAUUGUUGUUUUUCAGUGUGUCAGUAGUCCAUUUGGUUUCUGAUAGAAUACUGGAGAAUAUUUUGGCUUACAGAUUAGCUUUCAUAGAAUGAUUUCCUUGAGUCAGUUGAUAUCUUUUAAGGAUGCAGUAGAUCAAAAGUGAAUGUCAAGAAUUUCUGAUAGAUACCAGUAACGAGGGGGCUUACGCCUACAGUCCUCAAACUUCAUAGGAUUAUAUCUUGUAGUCAGUUUAUGUCUUGUGUUGCUUUGGAAUUAAGCUCAAGGUUGCAGUUUGCAAAUGCUAAGUGUCACAGCUAUAAAAAAAUUUAUAGGAUGUUUGCUUGUGGUCAGUUGAUGAACGAUAGUGUUUUUAUGAUCAUGAGGUCAUAGGUCAAGGUCAAGUUGAUCUCCAGACUGAAUAUACAUUUUGAUGAAGAGAAAAAAUGCAUCAAACCAGUCCAGUACAUCAAAAGCUAAGGUCAUAUUGACACCUUGACCAGAUAUGAUUUCUGAUUAGUAACUUAGGAAGGCUUGGGCUUGUCACAACCAAACUUAAAGGAUCUGAUUGAUUAAGAGGUAAGUGUAAAGGUCAAGGCCAAAGUGACAUUUAGACUGAAAGUUCAGACGGAAGAUGUCAAGACUUCAAAGGAUGAUUGUCUGUAGAAGAUAACUAUUGAAAAUUUAGGUCAGUGUUUUAAAGGUAAAGUCCACAGAGCAACCUUGAAGCUAAAAGGUUUCUUGUCAAUAGCUGGCUGAUACUUUAGUCUUCAAUUAUCAAACUUCAUACAAUAAUUGCCUGUGGUCAGUUGAUGAUCCCUGUUGUUCUUGGGAGUCUGUACAAAUGUCAGCUUAAGUCAAGGUUACAUUGACCCAGAGAUGCAGUAAGAUCAACGAGUUGAGAAUGCCAAGACUUUCAAAUUUCAUAAAGUGAAUGCCUGUAGUCAGUUGAUUACCCAUAUUGAUUUUGACAUCUGUGAUCAAUUUCAGAUCAGUGGCGGGAGAAUACUUUUGCAUACUGAUAUCGCCCUUUUUAUGAUUAUAGCAUGUGGUCAGUAGAUAUAUCAUUUUAUUUUGGUUUUUAGUAUGUCAAAGGUCAAGGCUACAGUAACUUUGAGCCUGGAAAAGAAUUGCACAUACAGCAGUGAAUCGUUAUACUUGUGAUAGCAUGUGGAUGUUAGAAGACCCUUUCAUUGUGUCACAGGAUACUUCAGACUAAAAGUUACAUAUUUCAAUUACCUCAUAGAGGCCAUCUUUAGAAAUUGUCCCUUGUUAUAUUUUUGUUGUUCUAUAUCUUGUUAUUGCAAUGUACAUUCUAUAUUUAUACAUAUUUUACAAGAUAUAUCUCAGAGGUGAUAGUAGAUACAGGAAUGUUUAGAUUUAUUGUUGAGCUUCUGUGCCAUGCAUUUUUAGGGACUUGUUUAAUUACUUGUAUGUAUGUUAUUAGAGCAGCAAAAGUUUUAACCAGGUAUAUAAGCCUUCUACAGUUAGUAGUUAUGCCAUAGAAUAAUAAUGUCAAGUGUCUAGUUUAUGCUUUACUUGUUUUUAUGUCCAUUACAAAUCAAUAGUUCUUGAGCUUUCAAAGUUGACUUUUGUAUGAAACUUUUUCACAUGUAAAAUAAACAUCUAAAGUAACUGUGUGUCUCUGUCUAGUAAAAAUAAAAUUUGAUACUUUUUCCUUUUAAAGUUAAUGAAUUCAAUAAUUGAAGUUAAAGGAGUGAGUUUUAGCUAAAACAUGUUAAAGUACUGUUUAGGCAUAGAUGUCUCUAUUAUUUGCAAAUGGAUGAUUGAAAUUCAAAAUUGUUGUUAUGUAAAGAUAGCUCAUUAAACGUUUAAAAUGGUUACUUUUCUUCUCAUAAUGAUAUGAGCCGUGCCAUGAGAAAACCAACAUAGUGGCUUUGAGACCAGCAUGGAUCCAGACCAGCAUGCACAUCCACGUAGUCUGGUCAGGAUCCAUGCUGUUCACUAAAGGUUUCUCUAAUUGUAAUAAGCUUUGAAAGCAAACAGCAUAGAUCCUGACCAGACUUAUGGAUGCGCAUGCUGGUCGCAAAGCCACUAUGUUGGUUUUAUAAUGGCACGGCUCAUAUUGUAAACAACAGGGAUAAAGAGUUUUUAGAAUGUUUGGCUCCUUAUUUUUAUAAUUCUUAAACAAUUAAUUGUUUUCCCCACUUACUUUAGAAGAUUUCAUCUACAAACUCGUAGAAGGGGAUAUUUCCAACUUUUCUGUUCCUGUUUGACAGACAUAAAGGUUACUCUGCUAAAUUUAUAUAAUGAACUUGUCCAUCAUAAAUUUGGACAGUACCAUUAACAAUUACUGUUAAAAGGGAUGCCUACCAAAAAGAUACUAAUGAUUUAAAUGAAGUGACACUUUGAAAGAUUGGUAGUUGUAUUAUCAUGUUGAACGGCAAUAAGAAAAGUUACAUAGGAAGGCAGAGUGACUCUGUGUUGUCAUUACAUGAUGUAAAUGAGAUGUGGAACCAAAAUUUGUAGUCCUGUUUGGCGCCAUAUAACCUAUACUGUGUUGAUGCGCCGUAAAACCCAAAUAAAUAAAUACAUCAUUUCUGUUUAUAAUUUCGUUUUCCAGUUGAAUGGAUAUAAAUUGAAAGUGAAACUCUGUUUGCAUUUUCUUCAAUUUCUUUACACCAUUGACAAAUUGGCAAGACAAAAGAAGAAUUGACUUAUAGGCCACCAGAGCUUAAGAUAGAAACAAACUUAAAUGACUUCUUUUGAACCACUGGAUGGAACUUCACCAAAGUUUUGAAAUGUAGGAUCCUUGUAUGGAUCUUUUGCAUGUUUGUUUACUUGGUUCUGCAUUGCCACUUUUUGGGGUUGUCAAAACUGAAAAUAGGAAACACCUUAAAACAGCUUCUACUUGUAAACCAGUUGAUGGAUCUUCAACAAACCUUGUAUUUGAAAUAUUUAUAUGGAACUCUCACAGAAUUAGGCAAAGGGUUCUGCUUGGCUCCUUUUAGGGGGCACCAGAGGUUAAAACUAGAAAACAAAUUAAACAAAUAUUCUACUAGAUAGAUUUUUACCACACCUAGUCUGCAGCAUUCUCAAAGUAUUUGCAAGUGGUUAUGCUUGACUGUACUGCAGGGCCAGUAUUCAAAAUGAACAGCUUGAUGGAUGUUCAAUAUAUUUGAUCAAAAGCAUCCUCUAAAAUUUGUGCAAAUGGUUCCACCUGACUUGCUCUUUCCUCCCAGGGUACUAUCUGUCACACAUCGGAUGAUCACUGUAAACAGAAUUGUUGUAUUUAAUGUGAUAGAGUGCAUUAAUCACAUAUAUUUAAGGUCAAGGUUAGGGGUGUGUCUUUUGGACCAUAAUGGCCCUUUUGUUUAAUGUUUAAUUCACACACUUUGAACCACUCUGUGCCUUAUCUCUGUUAAAGACAUGUUACAUAUUUGAGCCGCACCAUGAGAAAACCAACAUAGUGCGUUUGCGACCAGCAUGGAACCAGACCAGCCUGCACAUCCGUGCAGUCUGGUCAGAAUCCAUGCUGUUCACUUUCAAAGCCUAUUGCAAUUAGAGAAGCUGUUAGUGAACAGCAUGGAUCAUGACCAGACUGCGUGGAUGCGCAGGCUGGUCUGGAUCCAUACUGGUCGCAAAGCCACUAUGUUGAUUUUCUUUUGGGGCGGCUCAUAUCAUAUGAAUGUUAAAGAUAGAUACAGCUCUAUAGUAAUUUUAAAAAGUAUGUAUAUAGAAAUGUGAAAGGGUAAACAAAUUCUAGAGUCCAUUCAUUCUUCAUCACUUAACCUUUACCCUGCUAAAUUUCUUGUCCAUCUUUCAAUUAGGACAGUACCAUGAACUGUUAACAGGGGUGCUUACCAAAAGAAACUGAUUGAAUAGCAAACAGUGCAGAUCAUGAUCAGACUGCACAGAUGUACAGGCUGAUCAUGAUCUGCCCUGGCUGCAAAGGCAGGAUAUAUUGUGUCCAGCAUGAUAAGGGUUAAACUGAUGCUAGGUGUGAGGGACAAAAAUCUAUAAUAUCUUACGAUCAGACUCAGUGAAACUGAGUCUGCUAUCAUUAUACUUGGCUUGCAUUCUAUACUUUCACCUUUUAUAGUUCAGUUUUGCAUGUUACAAUGAAAAUAGUACAAUAAUUGUCUAAUAAUUUUAAAGCACUGGUAUUGAAGUUCUGUAGGUCACGUGUUUGUUUCAGGUAUCAUAUUGAAUGGAUACACUGUAGCUCUUGUUAGAUUUCUGUGAGCAUCUCUGAGUUUGCUGUUUGUUUCCAGAUCAGCUCAGAUUUCUAUAUUUAUAAACAGAUGGAAUAAAACAUGAAUUUAUA
Mercenaria mercenaria is the source of this 9707-nucleotide long non-coding RNA. RefSeq lists it as uncharacterized. The transcript has 2 exons. Lineage: Eukaryota; Metazoa; Mollusca; Bivalvia; Venerida; Veneridae. The record is from RefSeq and is a predicted model, not a curated record.